This 820-nucleotide ribosomal RNA is filed under the name marine metagenome. RNAcentral describes it as "bacterial SSU rRNA". It matches the Rfam family "Bacterial small subunit ribosomal RNA", at positions 461 to 1281 of the family's 1533-position model. The record is from RNAcentral.
AAGAAGAUAUGACGGUACUUGAGGAAUAAGCCACGGCUAAUUCCGUGCCAGCAGCCGCGGUAAUACGGGAGUGGCAAGCGUUAUCCGGAAUUAUUGGGCGUAAAGCGUCCGCAGGCGGCUUUUCAAGUCUGCUGUUAAAGCGUGGAGCUUAACUCCAUCAUGGCAGUGGAAACUGAAAGGCUUGAGUAUGGUAGGGGCAGAGGGAAUUCCCGGUGUAGCGGUGAAAUGCGUAGAUAUCGGGAAGAACACCAGUGGCGAAGGCGCUCUGCUGGGCCAUUACUGACGCUCAUGGACGAAAGCCAGGGGAGCGAAAGGGAUUAGAUACCCCUGUAGUCCUGGCCGUAAACGAUGAACACUAGGUGUCGGGGGAAUCGACCCCUUCGGUGUCGUAGCUAACGCGUUAAGUGUUCCGCCUGGGGAGUACGCACGCAAGUGUGAAACUCAAAGGAAUUGACGGGGGCCCGCACAAGCGGUGGAGUAUGUGGUUUAAUUCGAUGCAACGCGAAGAACCUUACCAGGGUUUGACAUCCUGCGAACCUCUUAGAAAUUUGAGGGUGCCUUCGGGAAUGCAGUGACAGGUGGUGCAUGGCUGUCGUCAGCUCGUGUCGUGAGAUGUUGGGUUAAGUCCCGCAACGAGCGCAACCCACGUUUUUAGUUGCCAGCAUUUAGUUGGGCACUCUAGAAAGACCGCCGGUGAUAAACCGGAGGAAGGUGUGGAUGACGUCAAGUCAUCAUGCCCCUUACACCCUGGGCUACACACGUACUACAAUGCUACGGACAAAGGGCAGCAAACUCGCGAGAGCUAGCAAAUCCCAUAAAC